This 461-nucleotide ribosomal RNA is filed under the name uncultured bacterium. RNAcentral's name for it is "partial 16S ribosomal RNA". It matches the Rfam family "Bacterial small subunit ribosomal RNA", at positions 338 to 795 of the family's 1533-position model. The record is from RNAcentral.
CCUACGGGGGGCAGCAGUGAGGAAUAUUGGUCAAUGGGCGCAAGCCUGAACCAGCCAAGUCGCGUGAGGGAUGACGGUCCUAUGGAUUGUAAACCUCUUUUGUCGGGGAGCAAGGCCCGCCACGUGUGGCGGGAAGGAGAGUACCCGAAGAAAAAGCAUCGGCUAACUCCGUGCCAGCAGCCGCGGUAAUACGGAGGAUGCGAGCGUUGUCCGGAUUUACUGGGUGUAAAGGGCGUGCAGCCGGAGAGACAAGUCAGAUGUGAAAUCCACGGGCUCAACCCGUGAACUGCAUUUGAAACUGUUUCCCUUGAGUGUCGGAGAGGUAAUCGGAAUUCCUUGUGUAGCGGUGAAAUGCGUAGAUAUAAGGAAGAACACCAGUGGCGAAGGCGGAUUACUGGACGAUAACUGACGGUGAGGCGCGAAAGCGUGGGGAGCAAACAGGAUUAGAUACCCUAGUAGUC